This 464-nucleotide ribosomal RNA is filed under the name Vreelandella stevensii. RNAcentral describes it as "partial 16S ribosomal RNA". It matches the Rfam family "Bacterial small subunit ribosomal RNA", at positions 339 to 795 of the family's 1533-position model. Lineage: Bacteria; Pseudomonadati; Pseudomonadota; Gammaproteobacteria; Oceanospirillales; Halomonadaceae. The record is from RNAcentral.
CCACGGGUGGCAGCAGUGGGGAAUAUUGGACAAUGGGCGAAAGCCUGAUCCAGCCAUGCCGCGUGUGUGAAGAAGGCCUUCGGGUUGUAAAGCACUUUCAGUGGGGAAGAAAGCCUUGGGGCUAAUACCCUCGAGGAAGGACAUCACCCACAGAAGAAGCACCGGCUAACUCCGUGCCAGCAGCCGCGGUAAUACGGAGGGUGCGAGCGUUAAUCGGAAUUACUGGGCGUAAAGCGCGCGUAGGCGGUCUGAUAAGCCGGUUGUGAAAGCCCCGGGCUCAACCUGGGAACGGCAUCCGGAACUGUCAGGCUAGAGUGCAGGAGAGGAAGGUAGAAUUCCCGGUGUAGCGGUGAAAUGCGUAGAGAUCGGGAGGAAUACCAGUGGCGAAGGCGGCCUUCUGGACUGACACUGACGCUGAGGUGCGAAAGCGUGGGUAGCAAACAGGAUUAGAUACCCCAGUAGUC